AGUCGAACGGAAAGGCCCUUCGGGGUACUCGAGUGGCGAACGGGUGAGUAACACGUGGGUGAUCUGCCCUGCACUUUGGGAUAAGCCUGGGAAACUGGGUCUAAUACCGAAUAGGACUCCGGACUGCAUGGUCUGGGGUGGAAAGCUUUUGCGGUGUGGGAUGGGCCCGCGGCCUAUCAGCUUGUUGGUGAGGUGACGGCUUACCAAGGCGACGACGGGUAGCCGGCCUGAGAGGGUGACCGGCCACACUGGGACUGAGAUACGGCCCAGACUCCUACGGGAGGCAGCAGUGGGGAAUAUUGCACAAUGGGCGCAAGCCUGAUGCAGCGACGCCGCGUGAGGGAUGACGGCCUUCGGGUUGUAAACCUCUUUCGCCAGGGACGAAGCGCAAGUGACGGUACCUGGAGAAGAAGGACCGGCCAACUACGUGCCAGCAGCCGCGGUAAUACGUAGGGUCCGAGCGUUGUCCGGAAUUACUGGGCGUAAAGAGCUCGUAGGUGGUUUGUCGCGUUGUUCGUGAAAACUCACAGCUUAACUGUGGGCGUGCGGGCGAUACGGGCAGACUAGAGUACUGCAGGGGAGACUGGAAUUCCUGGUGUAGCGGUGGAAUGCGCAGAUAUCAGGAGGAACACCGGUGGCGAAGGCGGGUCUCUGGGCAGUAACUGACGCUGAGGAGCGAAAGCGUGGGGAGCGAACAGGAUUAGAUACCCUGGUAGUCCACGCCGUAAACGGUGGGUACUAGGUGUGGGUUUCCUUCCUUGGGAUCCGUGCCGUAGCUAACGCAUUAAGUACCCCGCCUGGGGAGUACGGCCGCAAGGCUAAAACUCAAAGAAAUUGACGGGGGCCCGCACAAGCGGCGGAGCAUGUGGAUUAAUUCGAUGCAACGCGAA
RNAcentral lists this ribosomal RNA (890 nucleotides) under marine sponge bacterium PLATEMELO27. Its description in RNAcentral is "bacterial SSU rRNA". It matches the Rfam family "Bacterial small subunit ribosomal RNA", at positions 60 to 965 of the family's 1533-position model. The record is from RNAcentral.